UUUGUAUUGCGUGCGGAAAUUGUUACCAUUUUUGAGCCGAAAAUGGUAACAAUUUCCGCACGUUUAAUACAAA
RNAcentral lists this microRNA precursor (73 nucleotides) under Paramuricea clavata. Lineage: Eukaryota; Metazoa; Cnidaria; Anthozoa; Malacalcyonacea; Plexauridae. The record is from RNAcentral.